GGGCGAAGCCGAGGAAGAGCGUUUUGGGGACGGGGGCUGGUGAGGCUCACGUUGGAGGGCUUCGCGUCUGCUUCGGAGACCGUAAGGAUAUUGAUGACCAUGAGAUCCCUGCUCAGAACCCCCUUCCUGUGUGGCCUGCUCUGGGCCUUUUGUGCCCCAGGCGCCAGGGCUGAGGAGCCUGCAGCCAGCUUCUCCCAACCCGGCAGCAUGGGCCUGGAUAAGAACACAGUGCACGACCAAGAGUACGUAUUCAGCCCGGGCUGUGGUCCAGUGGCCUCCCCAUCAUCUGCAGCUGAGCCAGCGGCAAGGGCAUGCUCAGUCCUCCUUUCCUUCUUCCUGUUUCUAUGGCUCCUUGACAUUCUUCAAGGAUGAUUCUUAUUCCUUAUUGCCACCUAUAAGUCAGGUAUUCUUUUUUCAUCAUUGUAUCACAGGUGGAAGAUCUUUAGGCCCAAAUGGGGCACAUUACUUGUCUGAAUCCGGUCUCUCCUUUUUUUCACCACAGACAGACACACACACAUACAAAUAGACACACAGGUACACAUACACAGUCAUAGUAGCAGAAUCCAGAAAAUAGCUAAGGUUUCUUGACUAUAACAAGACCUUUUUUAAAUCAACACAUUCAAACAUUGAAUCAUUUGUUGCAGCUUUUGUCUUGGGCCAGUUAGCCUCACGCAUUAUACUCGGUUAUCCUUUGUUUUUAAGGCUGGGUGCAGUGGCUCACACCUGUAAUCCCAGUGCUUUGGGAGGCUGAGGCAGGUGGAUUACUUGAGCCCAGGAAUUCGAGACCAGCCUAGGCAAUAUAGGGAAAACCUGUCUCUACU
Molecule: long non-coding RNA, 821 nt
Filed under: Homo sapiens (human)
Lineage: Eukaryota; Metazoa; Chordata; Mammalia; Primates; Hominidae
Description: HSALNT0031257
Source: RNAcentral